Molecule: ribosomal RNA, 429 nt
Filed under: Chloroflexota bacterium
Lineage: Bacteria; Bacillati; Chloroflexota
Description: Chloroflexi bacterium partial 16S ribosomal RNA
Rfam family: Bacterial small subunit ribosomal RNA
Source: RNAcentral
UGGGGAAUAUUGCACAAUGGGCGCAAGCCUGAUGCAGCCAUGCCGCGUGUGUGAAGAAGGCCUUCGGGUUGUAAAGCACUUUCAGCGGGGAGGAAGGCGAUAAGGUUAAUAACCUUGUCGAUUGACGUUACCGACAGAAGAAGCACCGGCUAACUCCGUGCCAGCAGCCGCGGUAAUACGGAGGGUGCAAGCGUUAAUCGGAAUUACUGGGCGUAAAGCGCACGCAGGCGGUCUGUCAAGUCGGAUGUGAAAUCCCCGGGCUCAACCUGGGAACUGCAUUCGAAACUGGCAGGCUAGAGUCUUGUAGAGGGGGGUAGAAUUCCAGGUGUAGCGGUGAAAUGCGUAGAGAUCUGGAGGAAUACCGGUGGCGAAGGCGGCCCCCUGGACAAAGACUGACGCUCAGGUGCGAAAGCGUGGGGAGCAAACAGG